UCUAAAAUGGAUUUUUCCCCUUUAGACACCACUUUAACUUGAUGGAUAAAAAUAAGUAUACAAUAUAUUCAAAUAUGGAAUUUAAACAGCUAUAUUAUCCAGUUUAAAAUUUUAAAUAAAAUAGGAAAUUAUAUUUUAGUUAAUUGUUAAAUCGUCUAGGUAAAUUAGGUGCCAGCAACCGCGGUCAUACCUAAUAAACAUGCUUAUAAAUUUAUAUUAAGUUUUAAUUUUAUUUUUAAUAAAAAUUAUAUAAUGUAGUGAAAUACUAGAUAACAGAUAAAUCUUUUUUAAACCGCCAUAGUAUACACCUACAUUAUAAACUAGGAUUAGAGACCCUACUAUUAUAGGCUUACAAACCACUUAAUAAGAACUAAAACAAUAAUGGUUCAAACUUAAAAGUUAUGGCGGCUUAAACAAAACAUUUAGGGGAACUUACCAUAUAAUUGAUAGCCACCAAGCACUACUCUACUUACUUUUAUAAUUUGUAUGCCGUUGUCCUUUUGAAACUUUUGAAAAAUUUCAUGUGUAUAAUUUAUAUAUUAUAAAUAGACAAAUCAAGGUGCAGUUUAUAAGUAAGAAUUAAGGUGAGUUACAAUAACUAGUUGUAUCAGAAAUAAUAAUGAAAUAUUUAUUGAAGAUGGACUUAAAAGUAAUAAAUCAAAUUUAAAUACAGAUUAUAAAUAUAUUUUGUUUAGUGU
This 698-nucleotide ribosomal RNA is filed under the name Cristataria intersita. RNAcentral's name for it is "partial small subunit ribosomal RNA". The record is from RNAcentral. Lineage: Eukaryota; Metazoa; Mollusca; Gastropoda; Stylommatophora; Clausiliidae.